UUUCCGUAGGUGAACCUGCGGAAGGAUCAUUAACCUGUACCUCAGUCAUGCUGCCCCGUGAACUGUACAAACCCGCUCUGUGUACCUCUCCUGUUGCUUCCGCUGCGCCUGGAGCAUUUCAGAUGAGUUGUCUCUCGCACAGUCAAUUGCUGUGUGGGGUUUGCAAAUCUCGGUCACUGCUCUCGAUUCACAUGCCCAGCGGGAGGAUACUUAAUUUCCGACUUUACUCGUUCACCUGGCUAAACUAUGAACCAAAAAAAAAAUUGUUAAAACUUUCAGCAACGGAUCUCUUGGUUCUC
Molecule: unclassified non-coding RNA, 299 nt
Filed under: plant metagenome
Description: partial contains small subunit ribosomal RNA, internal transcribed spacer 1, and 5.8S ribosomal RNA
Source: RNAcentral